Molecule: ribosomal RNA, 468 nt
Filed under: uncultured bacterium
Lineage: Bacteria
Description: partial 16S ribosomal RNA
Rfam family: Bacterial small subunit ribosomal RNA
Source: RNAcentral
GAUGAACGCUGGCGGCGUGCCUAACACAUGCAAGUCGAGCGAUUCUCUUCGGAGAAGAGCGGCGGACGGGUGAGUAACGCGUGGGUAACCUGCCCUGUACACACGGAUAACAUACCGAAAGGUAUGCUAAUACGGGAUAACAUAAGAAAUUCGCAUGUUUUUCUUAUCAAAGCUCCGGCGGUACAGGAUGGACCCGCGUCUGAUUAGCUAGUUGGUGAGGUAACGGCUCACCAAGGCAACGAUCAGUAGCCGACCUGAGAGGGUGAUCGGCCACAUUGGAACUGAGACACGGUCCAAACUCCUACGGGAGGCAGCAGUGGGGAAUAUUGCACAAUGGGCGAAAGCCUGAUGCAGCAACGCCGCGUGAGCGAUGAAGGCCUUCGGGUCGUAAAGCUCUGUCCUCAAGGAAGAUAAUGACGGUACUUGAGGAGGAAGCCCCGGCUAACUACGUGCCAGCAGCCGCGGUAA